This 337-nucleotide unclassified non-coding RNA is filed under the name soil metagenome. RNAcentral describes it as "partial contains 5.8S ribosomal RNA, internal transcribed spacer 2, and large subunit ribosomal RNA". The stretch from base 1 to 120 matches the Rfam family "5.8S ribosomal RNA", at positions 35 to 154 of the family's 154-position model. The record is from RNAcentral.
GAUGAAGAACGCAGCGAAAUGCGAUAAGUAGUGUGAAUUGCAGAAUUCAGUGAAUCAUCGAAUCUUUGAACGCACAUUGCGCCCCUUGGUAUUCCAUGGGGCAUGCCUGUUCGAGCGUCAUUUGUACCUUCAAGCUCUGCUUGGUGUUGGGUGUUUGUCUCGCCUCUGCGUGUAGACUCGCCUCAAAACAAUUGGCAUCCGGCGUAUUGAUUUCGGAGCGCAGUACAUCUCGCGCUUUGCACUCAUAACGACGACGUCCAAAAGUACAUUUUUACACUCUUGACCUCGGAUCAGGUAGGGAUACCCGCUGAACUUAAGCAUAUCAAUAAGCGGAGGA